UCUCUGGUGGUCCAGAGGUUAGGAUUCCGAGUUUCCACUGCGGGGGCCGAGGUUCAAUCCCUGGUUGGGGAA
This 72-nucleotide transfer RNA is filed under the name Bos taurus (domestic cattle). It matches the Rfam family "tRNA". From Rfam's summary of the family: Transfer RNA (tRNA) molecules are approximately 80 nucleotides in length. Their secondary structure includes four short double-helical elements and three loops (D, anti-codon, and T loops). Further hydrogen bonds mediate the characteristic L-shaped molecular structure. tRNAs have two regions of fundamental functional importance: the anti-codon, which is responsible for specific mRNA codon recognition, and the 3' end, to which the tRNAs corresponding amino acid is attached (by aminoacyl-tRNA synthetases). tRNAs cope with the degeneracy of the genetic code in two manners: having more than one tRNA (with a specific anti-codon) for a particular amino acid; and 'wobble' base-pairing, i.e. permitting non-standard base-pairing at the 3rd anti-codon position. RNAcentral also lists the same sequence under 2 other names. Lineage: Eukaryota; Metazoa; Chordata; Mammalia; Artiodactyla; Bovidae. The record is from Rfam by way of RNAcentral.